ACCCUCUCAGGAUCGCACCCGGAGGGUUUCCAGUAUUCUGCCAGCCUUGGCUAUGGGAGAAAGAGUCAAGCAGAGGCAUACCCACUCCAUUCCUAGUUUGGCCAGUGGCUAGCAAGUGGAAGGCAAUCUGCUACAAGU
Molecule: small nucleolar RNA, 138 nt
Organism: Tachyglossus aculeatus (Australian echidna)
Lineage: Eukaryota; Metazoa; Chordata; Mammalia; Monotremata; Tachyglossidae
Source: RefSeq, a predicted model, not a curated record